This 227-nucleotide ribosomal RNA is filed under the name Afrarchaea royalensis. Its description in RNAcentral is "partial 28S ribosomal RNA". It matches the Rfam family "Eukaryotic large subunit ribosomal RNA", at positions 735 to 919 of the family's 3401-position model. Lineage: Eukaryota; Metazoa; Arthropoda; Arachnida; Araneae; Archaeidae. The record is from RNAcentral.
CCGAUAGCAUCGGCGGCUCGGCGGACGUCCGGGUCCAAACGGCCCGUCGCGGAAGGCGUCAAAAACCUUCCGCGACGGCGAGUCGUGUCCGGCUCGUCGGAGUCCGAGCAUGCGAGUUGGUACCCGAAAGAUGGUGAACUAUGCCCCGCCAGGGCGAAGUCGGAGGAAACUCCGGUGGAGGCCCGAAGCGGUUCUGACGUGCAAAUCGAUCGUCGGAGCGAGGUAUA